UUGACCUCGGAUCAGGUAGGAAUACCCGCUGAACUUAUGCAUA
RNAcentral lists this ribosomal RNA (43 nucleotides) under Diaporthe ampelina. Its description in RNAcentral is "partial 28S ribosomal RNA". Lineage: Eukaryota; Fungi; Ascomycota; Sordariomycetes; Diaporthales; Diaporthaceae. The record is from RNAcentral.